Molecule: small nuclear RNA, 103 nt
Organism: Protopterus annectens (West African lungfish)
Lineage: Eukaryota; Metazoa; Chordata; Ceratodontiformes; Protopteridae
Source: RefSeq, a predicted model, not a curated record
GUACUUUGACAGAACAUGUAUUACAAUUGCAAUGACAUAGAGAAGAUUAGAAUGACAUCCACACAAGAAUGAUAUGCAUGUUCAUGUAAUGUUCCAUACCUUU